AUGGAGGUUGAAGAGAGGAUGAAAUGUUUUCAAAAGUUUCCUGAACAUCAUCAGAUGAUCCUCGACUGACUGAAUAAACAGCAAGAUCGGGACUGGUUUACUGACAUCAUCCUGAUUGUCAACAGACACCAUUUUAAGGCUCACAAGGCUCUUUUGGCUGCUUGCAGUAAGUUCUUCUAUAAAUUCUUUCAAUUUACCCAGGAACCUUUGGUGGAGAUAGAAGUUGUUGGUAAAAUGACCUUUUGUAAUUUAAUUCAGUUCACAUAUACAGCAAAAUAAUUGAUACAGGAGAAGAAGAAGCCAAUGAUGUAUGGAAAGCAGCAGAGUUAUGAAAGCCCUUGAAGUCAGGAACAAAGAAAACUCAGCUCCAUUAGAGGAAAAUACCACAAGAAAAAAGGUGGCCAAAUAAAAGGAAGAUUGCAGCAACUUCAAAUGUUAUCACAGAAUCAUUGCCAUCUGCAGAAUCAGAACCUGUUGAAAUUGAGGUAGAGAUUGCUGAAGGCACAAUUGAAGUGAAGAUGAAGGCAUCAAAACAUUAGAGGAAGUGGAUUCUGCCAAGCAUCCAUAAAGUACACACAGAACACAAGUUCCUCUAAUGAUUCUGCUCUAGCACUGUUGGCAGAUAUUACCAGCAAGUAUCAUCAAAGUGACAGAAAAGGGCAGAUUAAAGAAGAAGAUGGCCAUGCAUCUGACCCUACAAGCAUACAGGUAGAAAGUAUCGAAACUGUGGAACGUCAGUUGUCACAUGUGACAACCUUCACAUGUGAAGGACUUGUUCCAUUGUGAGAAAUGUAAUGGUUCAUUUAAAUUGUUUUAUCAUUUGAAGGAACGCAUGAAAUCACACUCUACUGAGAGUUUCAAGUGUGAAAUAUGCAAUGAAAGGUAUCUUUGGGAGAGCACAUGGAAACAGCACCUAAAUUGUUACCAUCUUGAAGAAGGUGGAGUCACUAAGAAGCAAAGAACUGGGAAGAAAGUUUAUGUAUGUCAGUACUGUGAGAAGCAGUUUGACUGUUCUGGACAUUUUAAAGAACAUCUUAGAAAACAUACAGGUGAAAAACCUUUUGAAUGUCCAAAUUGUCAUGAAAGAUUUGCUAGAAAUAGCACCCUCAAAUGUCACCUCACUGCAUGCCAAACUGGAAUAGAGGCAAAAAAGGAAGAAAGAAGCUCUAUAAAUGCCAUGUCUGCAACAGUGUGUUUAACAGCUGGGACCAGUUCAAAGAUCACUUGGUAAUACACACUGGGUGUAAACCCAACUAUUGUUCUUUAUGUGACUUGUGGUUUAUGCAAGGAAGUAAAUUAAUGAGGCAUCUCAGUGACACUAUUUCAGAGCGUCUAGUAAUGGAAGAAGUUCUUUCAGUAGAAACGUGUGCAAACUGAACCUGUGACAUAUCAAUGACUAUUAUAUAACAAAUUGGGAAGGUGCGUGUGCUACCAUUGCUUCAGGUCCAGGUGGAUUCAGCACAAGUGACUGUGGAUUCAGCACAAGUGACUGUGGAACACGUCCAUCCAGAUCUGCUCCAGGACAGCCAGGUACUUUGUUCACACGAGUGUGCUUCCAGAGCAGGUCCAAAUAAGUUAUCUAGAAGUGGGUCGAAUUCAGACUGAAGAAGGUACUGAAGUACACGUAGAGAAGCUUCACUUUGAAUGGAUAAAUCAGGUGCCAGUGGAAGUACAAACUGAACUUCUAGAAGCAGACUUGGACCACGUGACCCCAGAAAUCUAUGAACCGAGAGAAGAGAGAACCUAGCCAAGCAGAUGCUGCUGAGGCUGCCAGGGAAGAUCACGAAGAUGCUGAGGAUUAGAGAGCAAGCCAACAGUGGAUUCUGAAGCUGAAAAGGCAGAGAAUGAGGACAGAACAGCUAUGCUGGUUUUAGAAUGA
This 1879-nucleotide long non-coding RNA is filed under the name Homo sapiens (human). Its description in RNAcentral is "non-protein coding lnc-FBXO30-4:1". The record is from RNAcentral. Lineage: Eukaryota; Metazoa; Chordata; Mammalia; Primates; Hominidae.